This 1708-nucleotide unclassified non-coding RNA is filed under the name Hevea brasiliensis (rubber tree). The record is from RNAcentral. Lineage: Eukaryota; Viridiplantae; Streptophyta; Magnoliopsida; Malpighiales; Euphorbiaceae.
GCGGGUUUUCGGGGUCCGGAGUGAACCACGCCACUGUCAAAUCGUCAGGGUGCAAAAACGCUACCGUUGAGAGGUUACAGUGACUGAGUUGCUUCUCUUCCUCGCGCAGCUCCUGAGUGAAUGAAUUGAGACUCUUCUCUUGAAGCGAACGACAUGAAUUCGACUUCGGGUUACAGUAAUGGCUACGUCAACCAGCCGCAACGAGUUGGGGCUAGUCACCGGGAACGAGCCAGAAGAGGGGCACGUGGCGGUCGCUCUCGCGAAUCCAGAGAUGGUUUUAGGGUUUCCGGAGAACAGCAGCAGCGGGAGGGUGAGCAGAAGGUCACUCCUUGUACCGAUUUCGACAUGGCAUACUUUCAUUCCUACGCUCACGUUGGUAUCCAUGAAGAGAUGAUCAAAGAUCGUGUACGAACAGAGACUUAUAGGGCUGCAAUCAUGCAACAUAAGAGUUACAUCGAAGGCAAAGUUGUUGUGGAUGUUGGCUGUGGCACAGGAAUUCUUUCUAUAUUUUGUGCUCAGGCUGGUGCAAAACGGGUAAGAUAUCUUGGACCUUAUAUUUUUUGAAGGUUCUACGUAUUAUUCAACAAAUUGUGUUAUGGGGUUCAUGGGCAACAUACAUUAUUCGUGGAGUGUUAUAUCAAUUGUCACUGCUGUUUCUUGCAAUUUUGGCACUAAAAUAUUUCUUACAGGGAUUCGGGGUGGGGAGACUUUCUUCUUGUCUCCGCACAAUAUCAGGGUCAGGGAAAAUCCAUCAAGUGCGGGGCGGGGCGGAUUGGGUUCGGGAAAUUUCGCCAUCCCUAGACCCAAUAAGCCUCCCAAUGGCUCUUUAACUCUCUCAUCAUAUGCAAAAGUAAUAAAAUAAAAUAAAAUUAAAAAGAAAGAAGAAGAAGAAGUGAAGAACUAACCUUUGAUUCUUUCCUUAUAUGUGAAAGUUUGACACUGUCCUUUUUUCUUAGUUUUAGUUCUUUUUCGAAGAGAUAUUAUGCAUAUUUCUAUUUCUGUACUUGCAUUAUUUUCAUUGUAAUUGUGGAUCAUGCUUGAAAUGAUAUUGUUUGGCCAGGUAUAUGCCGUGGAUGCAAGUGAUAUUGCAGUGCAGGCAAAUGAAGUUGUUAAAGCAAAUAAUUUAUCUGAGAAGAUCAUUGUAUUACGUGGACGAGUUGAGGAUGUUGAAAUAGACGAGGGAGUUGAUGCUAUAAUUUCAGAGUGGAUGGGCUACAUGCUUUUGUAUGAGAGCAUGCUGGGAAGUGUUAUCACUGCCAGGGAUCGCUGGCUAAAAUGCGGAGGUAUUAUUCUUCCAUCAAAUGCAACGUUGUACAUGGCACCUGUCACACAUCCUGACAGAUACAGUGAAAGCAUCGAUUUUUGGCGCAAUGUUUAUGGAAUUGAUAUGUCUGCCAUGAUGCCAUUAGCAAAACAGUGUGCAUUUGAAGAACCAUCUGUGGAGACAAUAUCGGGUGAGAAUGUUUUGACAUGGCCACACAUGGUUAAGCAUGUGGACUGCUACACAAUUCAAGUUCAUGAGCUAGAAUCUGUUACAACAAGAUAUAAGUUCAAGUCUAUGAUGAGAGCUCCAUUGCAUGGGUUUGCAUUUUGGUUUGAUGUUGAAUUCAGUGGGCCGGCAACAUCUCCUAUAAAUACUAUUGCAAAUGAUCCUCCUGUUGAUGGAGUUCAGAAUAAGAAAAGGACAAAUCCAAAUGAUGCACUUGUG